This 490-nucleotide ribosomal RNA is filed under the name uncultured bacterium. RNAcentral's name for it is "partial 16S ribosomal RNA". It matches the Rfam family "Bacterial small subunit ribosomal RNA", at positions 30 to 507 of the family's 1533-position model. The record is from RNAcentral.
AUUGAACGCUGGCGGCAUGCUUUACACAUGCAAGUCGGACGGCAGCACAGAGAAGCUUGCUUCUUGGGUGGCGAGUGGCGAACGGGUGAGUAAUAUAUCGGAACGUACCGAGUAAUGGGGGAUAACUAAUCGAAAGAUUAGCUAAUACCGCAUAUUCUCUGAGGAGGAAAGCAGGGGACCUUCGGGCCUUGCGUUAUUCGAGCGGCCGAUAUCUGAUUAGCUAGUUGGUGGGGUAAAGGCCUACCAAGGCGACGAUCAGUAGCGGGUCUGAGAGGAUGAUCCGCCACACUGGGACUGAGACACGGCCCAGACUCCUACGGGAGGCAGCAGUGGGGAAUGUUGGACAAUGGGCGCAAGCCUGAUCCAGCCAUGCCGCGUGUCUGAAGAAGGCCUUCGGGUUGUAAAGGACUUUUGUCAGGGAAGAAAAGGCUGUUGCUAAUAUCGACAGCUGAUGACGGUACCUGAAGAAUAAGCACCGGCUAACUACGUG